Molecule: long non-coding RNA, 755 nt
Filed under: Vigna radiata
Lineage: Eukaryota; Viridiplantae; Streptophyta; Magnoliopsida; Fabales; Fabaceae
Description: long non-coding RNA (VRAD_LNC001719)
Source: RNAcentral
GUCGGCCUUGUGCUAAAAAUCGUUCCUUUUUUUACAAAAAUACAAAAAAAAAUAUAUAUAUAUAAAAUCUUCAAAAACUAAAAACAUUUUCAAACAAACAAACAAUCUGUCAUCUAGAACUACGUAACCCUGAUUUUUCAUUUUCAAUGAGAAUACGUAGGAGCAAGGUCAAUCCUUGUCGGGCCCAAAAUACUAAAAAAAUAUUUUUUGUUUCUCUAGAUUGUCGUUUUAGGGGAUAGUUAAACAUUUUGUAAACCACGCCACAUUUGCGCAUUUAAUUAAAGGUACUGCUUUCGGGCAGGCGUUGUAGGGUGCUAAUACCUUCUCUACACGUAACCGACUCCCGAACCCAAUCUUUGGUUUUCGUGGACCGUGCUUUAUCAUUUUAUGGUUUUUCCGUAGUUUUCCAGAAUAAACUAUGGUGGCGACUCCAAAACAUUUUUCAAAACCUGUUUUCUUUUUGGAUCGUCGUCCCGUCGCGAUUCCGGUUGCGACACUUCUAAAAAUAAUAACUCUUGGUCGUGACAGUGUUCUACUUCUCCAAUUAAAAAAAACAUGUCUUCUCCUAGCAUGAAGCCGUGACACCUUUCAACAAUAAAAAGAUUUUCCAGCCAUGAAUGUCCGUGCCUUAUUCAAUGAUGAAGGUGACCAUGGCUUGUAAAAUUGGAUGCACGGUGAGCCCUCCUUCCAAAAAUUGAAUUAGCACUUGAAUAUUUAAAAGCAAGGAAAGAGAAGCCGGGAGAUGUGAAAACACC